Molecule: ribosomal RNA, 485 nt
Filed under: uncultured bacterium
Lineage: Bacteria
Description: bacterial SSU rRNA
Rfam family: Bacterial small subunit ribosomal RNA
Source: RNAcentral
AACCGAGAACUCCUACGGGAGGCAGCAGUGGGGAAUUUUGGACAAUGGGGGCAACCCUGAUCCAGCGAUGCCGCGUGAGUGAAGAAGGCCUUCGGGUUGUAAAGCUCUUUUGUCAGGGAAGAAACGGUAGUAGCUAAUAUCUAUUACUAAUGACGGUACCUGAAGAAUAAGCACCGGCUAACUACGUGCCAGCAGCCGCGGUAAUACGUAGGGUGCAAGCGUUAAUCGGAAUUACUGGGCGUAAAGCGUGCGCAGGCGGUUUUGUAAGUCUGUCGUGAAAGCCCCGGGCUCAACCUGGGAAUUGCGAUGGAGACUGCAAGGCUUGAAUCUGGCAGAGGGGGGUAGAAUUCCACGUGUAGCAGUGAAAUGCGUAGAGAUGUGGAGGAACACCGAUGGCGAAGGCAGCCCCCUGGGUCAAGAUUGACGCUCAUGCACGAAAGCGUGGGGAGCAAACAGGAUUAGAUACCCCAGUAGUCCGACUGAGA